GACAGAGGGUGCAAACGUUGUUCGGAAUUACUGGGCGUAAAGCGCGUGUAGGCUGCCCCGAAAGUCAGGUGUGAAAGCCCUGGGCUCAACCCAGGAAGUGCACUUGAAACUUCGGUGGCUUGAGUUCUGGAGAGGAUGGCGGAAUUCUCGGUGUAGAGGUGAAAUUCGUAGAUAUCUGGAGGAACACCGGUGGCGAAGGCGACAUCCUGGACCGGUAUUGACGCUGAGGCGCGAAAGCCAGGGGAGCAAACGGG
RNAcentral lists this ribosomal RNA (254 nucleotides) under uncultured bacterium. RNAcentral describes it as "partial 16S ribosomal RNA". It matches the Rfam family "Bacterial small subunit ribosomal RNA", at positions 524 to 776 of the family's 1533-position model. The record is from RNAcentral.